Molecule: ribosomal RNA, 1890 nt
Filed under: Deltaproteobacteria bacterium
Lineage: Bacteria; Pseudomonadati; Myxococcota; Myxococcia
Description: partial 23S ribosomal RNA
Rfam family: Archaeal large subunit ribosomal RNA
Source: RNAcentral
GCGACGUGUGAAAGUGCGUGAAGUCACUCCCGUGACACGAGAAACCAGUCGAUCUUGGCGUGGGCAGGGUGAAGCCGGGCGAAAGCUCGGUGGAGGCCCGAUAGGGUUCUGACGUGCAACUCGUUCCGUUGACCUGCGCGAAGGGGUAAAAGGCUUAUCUAGACUGGUGAUUGCUCGUUCUCCGCGAAGUUGGUCGUAGCCAAGCCCUGCUUGAGGUAUCAUGUGGUGUAGAGCACUUUCGGAUGUGCCCGGGGGACGUCAAGUCCUUCACCAUCCUGAAAACUCCGAAGCUGCAUGAACCGUAGACGGCAGGAGACGGGUGCCCGGGGUAAGCCCGGCAGGCCGAGAUGGGGAGAACCGAGAGUAUGGUUAAGGUCCCUAAGUGCCAGAUAAGUGCGGUGAAGAAGGGCGUCGAGAGCCCAAGACAGUCUGGGGGUGAGCUUAGAGGCAGCUAUCCCCGAACGAAAGCGUAACAGCUCACAGACCGAGGCUCUCGGCCUUGAAAAUGGACGGGGCUAAAUCUGGCCACCGAGACCAUACGGCACGCGGGUAAUUCUGCGUGAUCCGGUAGCGGAGCGACCCGGUUGGGUAGAAGUGGGGCCGUGAGGUCCCGUGGACCGUCCGGGUUUGAUGAUCCUGGCAGUAGUAACAGCGAAGCAUGGUGAGAAUCCAUGUCACCGAAAGGGAAAGGGUUCUUCGGCGAUGCGUCAUCAGCCGAAGCUUAGUCGAUCCUAAGUGGCGUCGUAACUCGAGCGUCACGAAAGGGAAUCAGGUUAAUAUUCCUGAACCUCGGAAGUACGAUUCGCGGCAACGCAAAGCCGAACUUGUGACUCAUCUGGACAAGCCUUGCACGGCUCUCGCCGUGUUUAACACUAUAAGCGUGCUGAGUACCGUAAUGGUGAGAGGCAGGCGAAAGGUGGAAUAGCGGGUGGUCGGACACCCGUUUGGCCCAUUCCUGGUGACCUUGAAAAACGAGUUCGGAAGGAUCUUCCGGGUCCGUACCCAGAUCUGACACAGGUUCCCUGGCUGAGAAGGCCAAGGUGUAUCCGGGUCACUCCUGCCUGAGGGAAAUCGGCCAAUUAGCAGCGUAACUUCGGGAUAUGCUGUGCCUGGAUUAGUUCACGCUUUUCCAGGUCUUAGUAACUAAGGGGUCCCAACUGUUUAAUACAAACAUAGCUGACUGCGAGCGCGAAAGCGUUAGUACAGUCAGUGAAUCCUGGUCUGUGCCUGUCUGUUAAAGCUCGGGAACGGGUCGAAGCACAGGUUAACGCCGGGACUAACUAUGAGUCUCUUAAGGUAGCCAAAUGCCUUGUCGGUUAAAUGCCGACGUGCAUGAAGGGAGCAAUGAGGUCCCCACUGUCCCCAGGAGGAACCGGGUGAACCUACACCGUACCGAACAGUGUACGUAGUACCAAUGGGAAGAGAAGUCCCUGCGGAGGUUUACUACGCAGCCUGUCAUUGCCAUUUCUGGUGUCAUACAGAGCGUAGUCAGGAGCGACGAACCAUUCUCUCUGGGGAAUGGGAAUGCGACCUUGUAACACUGACUAUGUCAUUGGGGAUGGCUAACCUAAGCCAAGCGAGUUUAGGGACACUGGCAGGUAGGCAGUUGGGCUGGGGCGGCACAGGGCUGACAAGAGAUCAGCCCUGACCAAUACUGGACUCAGAGGCGAUGGAAACGUCUCGUUGAGAUCAAGGGCAUAAGUCCGGUUGAUAGGAUCCCGAAAAGCAACGGAUCCUGGGUGGAAACACUGGCCUAGCGAACCUCAAUAGUUGCCAAUUGUAAGCGAUUGAGAUGACAAAAAACUUACCCCAGGGGUAACAGAGUUGUCGCGUGCAAGAGUUCAUAUCGACCACGCGGCUUGCUUCCUCGAUGUCGGCUCUUGGUAUCCU